This 560-nucleotide ribosomal RNA is filed under the name Escherichia coli. RNAcentral describes it as "partial 23S ribosomal RNA". It matches the Rfam family "Bacterial large subunit ribosomal RNA", at positions 711 to 1268 of the family's 2925-position model. The record is from RNAcentral. Lineage: Bacteria; Pseudomonadati; Pseudomonadota; Gammaproteobacteria; Enterobacterales; Enterobacteriaceae.
AGACCCGAAACCCGGUGAUCUAGCCAUGGGCAGGUUGAAGGUUGGGUAACACUAACUGGAGGACCGAACCGACUAAUGUUGAAAAAUUAGCGGAUGACUUGUGGCUGGGGGUGAAAGGCCAAUCAAACCGGGAGAUAGCUGGUUCUCCCCGAAAGCUAUUUAGGUAGCGCCUCGUGAAUUCAUCUCCGGGGGUAGAGCACUGUUUCGGCAAGGGGGUCAUCCCGACUUACCAACCCGAUGCAAACUGCGAAUACCGGAGAAUGUUAUCACGGGAGACACACGGCGGGUGCUAACGUCCGUCGUGAAGAGGGAAACAACCCAGACCGCCAGCUAAGGUCCCAAAGUCAUGGUUAAGUGGGAAACGAUGUGGGAAGGCCCAGACAGCCAGGAUGUUGGCUUAGAAGCAGCCAUCAUUUAAAGAAAGCGUAAUAGCUCACUGGUCGAGUCGGCCUGCGCGGAAGAUGUAACGGGGCUAAACCAUGCACCGAAGCUGCGGCAGCGACACUGUGUGUUGUUGGGUAGGGGAGCGUUCUGUAAGCCUGUGAAGGUGUACUGUAAGG